AAAGUGUUCCUAGAAAGAUA
RNAcentral lists this ribosomal RNA (20 nucleotides) under Anthocharis scolymus. Its description in RNAcentral is "partial 12S ribosomal RNA". Lineage: Eukaryota; Metazoa; Arthropoda; Insecta; Lepidoptera; Pieridae. The record is from RNAcentral.